RNAcentral lists this ribosomal RNA (840 nucleotides) under Micrococcus sp. DST88. RNAcentral's name for it is "bacterial SSU rRNA". It matches the Rfam family "Bacterial small subunit ribosomal RNA", at positions 49 to 903 of the family's 1533-position model. The record is from RNAcentral. Lineage: Bacteria; Bacillati; Actinomycetota; Actinomycetes; Micrococcales; Micrococcaceae.
UUACCAUGCAGUCGACGAUGAAGCCCAGCUUGCUGGGUGGAUUAGUGGCGAACGGGUGAGUAACACGUGAGUAACCUGCCCUUGACUUUGGGAUAACCCCGGGAAACUGGGUCUAAUACCGGAUAGGAACGUCCACCGCAUGGUGGUUGUUGGAAAGAUUUAUCGGUCAUGGAUGGACUCGCGGCCUAUCAGCUUGUUGGGGAGGUAAUGGCUCACCAAGGCGACAACGGGUACCCGGCCUGAAAGGGUGACCGGCCACACUGGGACUGAGACACGGCCCAGACUCCUACGGGAGGCAGCAGUGGGGAAUAUUGCACAAUGGGCGAAAGCCUGAUGCAGCGACGCCGCGUGAGGGAUGACGGCCUUCGGGUUGUAAACCUCUUUCAGUAGGGAAGAAGCGAAAGUGACGGUACCUGCAGAAGAAGCACCGGCUAACUACGUGCCAGCAGCCGCGGUAAUACGUAGGGUGCGAGCGUUAUCCGGAAUUAUUGGGCGUAAAGAGCUCGUAGGCGGUUUGUCGCGUCUGUCGUGAAAGUCCGGGGCUUAACCCCGGAUCUGCGGUGGGUACGGGCAGACUAGAGUGCAGUAGGGGAGACUGGAAUUCCUGGUGUAGCGGUGGAAUGCGCAGAUAUCAGGAGGAACACCGAUGGCGAAGGCAGGUCUCUGGGCUGUAACUGACGCUGAGGAGCGAAAGCAUGGGGAGCGAACAGGAUUAGAUACCCUGGUAGUCCAUGCCGUAAACGUUGGGCACUAGGUGUGGGGACCAUUCCACGGUUUCCGCGCCGCAGCUAACGCAUUAAGUGCCCCGCCUGGGGAGUACGGCCGCAAGGCUAAAACUCA